This 253-nucleotide ribosomal RNA is filed under the name uncultured bacterium. RNAcentral's name for it is "partial 16S ribosomal RNA". It matches the Rfam family "Bacterial small subunit ribosomal RNA", at positions 524 to 776 of the family's 1533-position model. The record is from RNAcentral.
UACGUAGGUGGCAAGCGUUGUCCGGAUUUAUUGGGCGUAAAGCGCGCGCAGGCGGUUCUUUAAGUCUGAUGUGAAAUCUUGCGGCUUAACCGCAAGCGGUCAUUGGAAACUGGGGAACUUGAGUACAGAAGAGGAAAGUGGAAUUCCACGUGUAGCGGUGAAAUGCGUAGAUAUCAGGAGGAACACCGGUGGUGUAGACGGCUUUCUGGACCGUAACUGACGCUGAGACACGAAAGCGUGGGUAGCAAACAGG